RNAcentral lists this transfer RNA (74 nucleotides) under Fidelibacterota bacterium. RNAcentral describes it as "Candidatus Marinimicrobia bacterium tRNA-Asn". It matches the Rfam family "tRNA". Rfam says of the family: Transfer RNA (tRNA) molecules are approximately 80 nucleotides in length. Their secondary structure includes four short double-helical elements and three loops (D, anti-codon, and T loops). Lineage: Bacteria; Pseudomonadati; Fidelibacterota. The record is from RNAcentral.
UCCGGAGUAGCUCAGUUGGUAGAGCGAGUGACUGUUAAUCACCAGGUCGGGGGUUCGAGUCCCUCCUCCGGAGC